This 4217-nucleotide long non-coding RNA is filed under the name Salmo salar (Atlantic salmon). RNAcentral's name for it is "lncRNA (ENSSSAG00000102838.1)". The record is from RNAcentral. Lineage: Eukaryota; Metazoa; Chordata; Actinopteri; Salmoniformes; Salmonidae.
UUUGCCUGUUGGGGCUCGGGGGCAGUAUUGAGACAUUUUGAAAAAAAUAUGUGCCCAUUUUUAACUGCCUCCUACACCAACUCAGAAGCUAGGAUAUGCAUAUUAUUAACACAUUCGGAUAGAAAACACUCUGAAUUUUCUAAAACAGUUUGAAUGGUGUCUGUAAGUAUAACAAAACUCAUAUUGCAGGCAAAAACCUGUGAAAAAUAGAUCAAAAAAAAUGUGAAUUUUGUGACUGUAAUAUUUAGUGUCAUUGUUUUAUAGAUACCAUAGUGAGAAAGGAUUCAUUUCGCAACACCUACGGCUUCCACUAGAUGUCAACGAUCUUUAUAAAGUUGUUUGAAGCGUCUAUGAUAAACAGAGAGCAAAUUAGAAUCCAAGGAAGUUGACAUGUCAUCACUUCAUUUUUUUGCGCCUGCGCAUAAAUCUGAGAAACGUGAGUUUUGUCUUCAUUGUUUAUCUCGACAUAGGAUAGGUUGUGUGAAAAUAUUACUGAUGUUUAACGUUAAAAAUGGACCAAAAGAUUAAUGCUAAACAACAUUUGACAUGUUUGAACGAACAUAAAUAGAUUAUUUACUAGUUUUUUUUAGCUUUUCGGCGUGAUUUUACAGUCCCCCACCACGUUUUGUGGGAGCAUAAUGAACGCUAAGUACUUGGUGUUAUUUGGACAUAAAUUAUGAACUUUGUCAAAAGAAACCACAUUUGUUCCGGACCUGGGAUGCCUUCCGGACCUGGGAUGCCUGUCUUCUGAUGGAGAUAAUCAAAGAGAAAAGGACCACAAGCUGAAAACUUUCCUCUCGAUCGAACCAAUCGCUGCUCGCAUGUCCUUUCAUGGUAAAGUACAACUAGUCAUGAGCACGGAAAUAAGCAGCAAAGACCUUGUUACUCAAAGACCCAGCUACUCUCUGACAGUCACCAUCAGAACAUCAGACCACCAGAUGGACAGGCUGUGUGUCGCUCUGAUUGCAUUCUUAUCUCCAACUGAGACUCAGGGGAGGUGACAGCAGAGAGCAGACUAUAGUCAAAGUCUCUUAAGGUGUUGCUAUCUAAGGUGAACACCUCAAAGAAGCUGAAUAAUUUCCAUUGACGUCACGUUAUUGUGAAACCUGUUUACGUCGAUGCUAGACCCUCCCCUUCAUGUCACACAAAAAGGUUUUCAGGGAAAAGGACCACAGGCUGAAAACGUUCCACUCGAUCGAACCAAUCGCUGCUCGUAUGUCCUUUCAUGGUAAAGUACAUCUAGUCAUGAACACAGAAAUACGCAGCAAAGACCUUUUUACUCAAAGACCCAGCUACUCUCUGACAGUCACCAUCAGACCAUCAGACCACCAGAUGGACAGGCUGUGUGUCACUCUGAUUGCAUUCUUAUGUGCUGUUUCCUCCAGUCAGGAUGGGAUCUCUGCAGCAGAGGUGGAGAUGAGAGUCAGACCAGGAGACAACAUCACUCUCUACUGUGACUGUAACAUAACUUCUGGAAUAUACAUUAUGUGGUAUAGGAACUGUUCUCACAAGUACCAGCCUCCUCUUGUUAUUUUAACUACGUUUUUAAGUUCCAUCUCUCUCCCUGGAUUUAAUGUGUUAUGGAACCCCUCUAACAACUCCUAUGAUCUACUGAUUGAGAACAUCACUGAAUCUGACCUGGGACUCUACUACUGUGGGACUGUGGAGUACAAGGUGGAAGAAGGAAAACGAAUGAAAUAUAAAGAGUUGUUCCACUAUGGAAACAUCACCACUCGGAUUUCACUUGAAACCAGUCCUCCUGCCAGUCUAUUGCCAGAAACCAGUCCUCCUGACUGUCUAUUGCCAGAAAUCAGUCCUCCUGAGCCAUCCUCCUCCUCCCCUCCUCCUGUAGACUGUGGUCUGUGUUGGAUGUUGCUGUUCAGUCUGUGUCCUGUAUCUGCUCUCCUCUACUCCGCCUGUGUUUACUCCUUUUACAGAACAACAGCUCCAACUGAGACUCAGGUUCCUCUGAACAAGACCACCACCAGGGGAAUUGACAGCAGAGAGCAGACUACUGUCAAAUACAUACACAUCUAUCAAUACCAGCAGAGUGUGAGACCUAUACCAUCCAUCAAUACCAGCAGAGUGUGACCAAUACCAUCCAUCAAUACCAGCAGAGUGAGACCUAUACCAUCCAUCAAUACCAGCAGAGUGUGACCAAUACCAUCCAUCAAUACCAGCAGAGUGAGACCUAUACCAGCCAUCAAUACCAGCAGAGUGAGACCAAUACCAUCCAUCAAUACCAGCAGAGUGUGAGACCUAUACCAUCCAUCAAUACCAGCAGAGUGAGACCUAUACCAUCCAUCAAUACCAGCAGUGUGAGUCCUAUACCAUCCAUCAAUACCAGCAGAGUGUGAGACCUAUACCAUCCAUCAAUACCAGCAGAGUGUGAGACCUAUACCAUCCAUCAAUACCAGCAGAGUGUGAGACCUAUACCAAUGUAGCUGGGAGGAAAUUAUUUUUAAGAGUUACUUAUUUUUUUUUUUACCUUUUCAUACAAGUGAUUUAUUUGUACACUUUUGGCUGUAACCUUUUAAUAAUAAUAACAAUAGUGAUUUAGAAAAUGUGGUUAAGAUCAGGGAAUAAUGGUUAAAUAGCUGUUGUUACAGUCUUAGUUUGUAAUUCUAGGUGUUAAAGUUCAUUGUUUUCCAUUUGUAAGUGUAUUGAUAUGUGUUAAUGUAGCUGAAUAAAUAUUGAUUCAGUUUAAUUACAUUUUAUUUAGUUAUUUAUUUGUCUCCCCUUAACUUCUCUUAGAGCGCGAGGUCAUUAUAUUUGGUUUGACAAACGCUCCAGCAAACCAAUCAGAGCUAUUUGAGGGUGUGGCUUAGAUGUGAAGGGUUGAGACUUUGGUGAAGAAGGUGUGGCUUAGAAAUAAAGAGGGUGUGGCUUUAGAGGAUGACAGAGAUGCAUGUAAAGAGCAUGGAGGUUAAGGGGUGUGAUUUAUAUGUUAAGAGGUGUGAUUUAUAUAUUAAGGGGUGUGAUUUAUAUGUUAAGGGGUGUGAUUUAUAUGUUAAGGGGUGUGAUUUAUAUGUUAAGGGGUGUGAUUUAUAUGUUAAGAGGUGUGAUUUAAAUGUUAAGGGGUGUGGUUUAUAUGUUAAGGUGUUAUUUAAAUGUUAAGGGGUGUGGUUUAUAUGUUAAGGGGGGGAAUUUAUAUGUUAAGAGGUGUGAUUUGAAUGUUACGGUGUGUGAUUUAUAUGUUAAUGUGUGUGGUUUAUAUGUUAAAGUGUGAUUUAAAUGUUAAGGGGUGUGGUUUAUAUGUUAAGGUGUGAUUUAAAUGUUAAGGGGGGUGGUUUAUAUGUUAAGGGGUGUAAUUUAUAUGUUAAGAGGUGUGAUUUAAAUGUUAAGAUGUGUGGUUUUAGUGGAAUACAGAGUUGUUGAGUAGAACCAGAGUAGUUUCUAUGGUUUCAUAAACAUGAAGCCCAGGGCUCUUUAACCCUGUUCCUGGAAAACUACCAUCCUGUAGGUUUUCACUCCAACCCUAAUCUAGCACAAUAAUAUUUAGCUCGUUGAUGAACUGAUUCGGGUUAGUUACAACUGGGGUUGGAUAUCCCUGACCCUGUAUAUGGUUGAACAUUUUAAGUUUUAAAUGAAGCUCCGUGAAGCUUUCAGUGAAAGCACAUUAUCAAUAGAGUUACAUAGUGAAACCAGGUUAAUUAUACUACAUUAUCAAUGGAGUUACAUAGUGAAAUCAGGUGAAUUAUACCACAUCAUUAGAGUAACAUAGUGAAAUCAGGUUAAUUAUACCACAUUAUCAAUAGAGUUACAUAAUGUAAUCAGGUUAAUUAUACUACAUUAUCGAUAGAGUUACAUAGUAACAUCAGGUUCAUUGUAUCACAUUAUCGAUAGAGUUACAUAGUAACAUCAGGUUCAUUGUAUCACAUUAUCAAUGGAGUUACAUAGUGAAAUCAGGUUAAUUAUACCACAUUAUCAAUAGAGUUACAUAGUGAAAUCAGGUUAAUUAUACCACAUUAUCAACAGAGUUACAUAGUGAAAUCAGGUUAAUUAUACCACAAAACAGUAGUCUCUGAAAAAGCAUGAUUUAAUUCCAGAAGAUAACCAUUACAUGUAUUUUCACCAAAUACUAAUCAUACAUGAAAAGUAGAUAAUUUCAUCUGAAUGAAGAGCAGAUACAACAGAAAGUGCAUGUUCAAUCUAUUAAAAGUAGAAAAUAAAUGUAAAAACUUUGAAUGUAACCAAAUUAAAGCCUUUUGGUGACA